RNAcentral lists this ribosomal RNA (458 nucleotides) under uncultured bacterium. RNAcentral's name for it is "partial 16S ribosomal RNA". It matches the Rfam family "Bacterial small subunit ribosomal RNA", at positions 28 to 523 of the family's 1533-position model. The record is from RNAcentral.
GAUGAACGCUGGCGGCGUGCUUAAUACAUGCAAGUCGAGCGGAAAGGCCCUUCGGGGUACUCGAGCGGCGGACGGGUGAGUAACGCGUAAGAAUGUACCCCAAAGUGAGGAAUAACUGCUCGAAAGAGUAGCUAAUGCCGCAUGUGCUCUUCGGAGGAAAGCUUUAUGCGCUUUGGGAACAGCUUGCGUCUGAUUAGCUAGUUGGUAAGGUAACGGCUUACCAAGGCGACGAUCAGUAGCUGGUCUGAGAGGAUGACCAGCCACACUGGGACUGAGACACGGCCCAGACUCCUACGGGAGGCAGCAGUAGGGAAUUUUCCACAAUGGGCGAGAGCCUGAUGGAGCAACGCCGCGUGCUAGAUGAAGGCCUUCGGGUCGUAAAUAGCUUUUGUCUGUGACGAGUAUGACGGUAGCAGACGAAUAAGGAUCGGCUAACUACGUGCCAGCAGCCGCAGUAA